Vombatus ursinus (common wombat) is the source of this 104-nucleotide small nuclear RNA. The record is from Ensembl. Lineage: Eukaryota; Metazoa; Chordata; Mammalia; Diprotodontia; Vombatidae.
GUACUCACAGAGGUAACACAUAUACUAAAAUUGCAGCGAUGCAGAGAUGAUUAGCAUGGCUCCUGAGGAAAGAUGAUAAAAACUUUGGUAAAUGUCGUGUAUUU